GGUGGCGCGAGCGGAAGGGGCGGGCGCGCGGCCGUUAGCGGUCUCGCUCUGUCAACGGUCAGCGUCGCCUUGGUGCCCGCGGCCGCAGUGUCCCUAUGUCGCAGUCCGCGUCACCCGGCCCCGGUUUGCGCGCUCGCCCCCUUCGCCGGCGUAGUCACCGCGCGGGGCGGCCGCCCGUGAGGUAGCUCCCACGGCUUGUGACGACGAACAAAGCUCCGGGACAGCGGUGCCCUCGGCGACAGCUGGGCAGACGGCCCCGGCCGGGAGCGGCGGCUGGUGCGCUACCGUGAGGAGCGAGCGGCGGUGGCGACCUCCGGCCCGGCCCCGCAGUAGCCGCCCGGCAAGCGCGACAUGAGCCUGGUCUGGCAUCCGUGGAAUGCUCCUUGAGCCCCUUCUCCUACUGUUACCUCCGAGGGACGGUUGUCGCCACACCGACACGUAUUUUCCAGAUAAAUCACUCCCUAUUCUUGCGGCUGCGGGGCCGACCACUCAUUUAUUUUUAAUUUUUUCAGCCAGCUUUUGCCCAGCGCUUAUCCAGCGAAACAACUUGGUAACCGUUUCAAGGGAGCGUCCGCUCGGUUAGGGAAUCUCGGCCGGAGCAGCCUGUGGAAGCCCGCGUUCGCAGCGCCCCCUGAGCUGCCUUGAAGAGUGUUGCGUCUUCCUGCAACGACCAGUGUGCGCAAAAUCCCGCUCAAGGAACGUCUUGGUCCAGCGAUGCAAAGAGCUGAAGUCUCAAGGUUUUUCUCUAUUGCUAGAUGGUCGGGGUUCCCCAACAGCUCGGAACCGCUCGGUAGUCAGCUAAAGUGGAUCCUCAGGUGCACGCCCUCCUCUCUCCUCUUCCAGCCUGUCCAAGUGCUUUGGUUGAGUAAGAAGCCAUCCAGUGUCAUUACUUCUGCAAGUGCAGCUCAUGGGUUAGAAGAGGAGACGGAGCAAACACAAAGGAAGGCAGGGCGGUGUCGCCUUAGUUUUCUGAACAGCUGAUGGCCUUAAUAGUUGUAUGCACACAGUAGUUGACAGUCCCUCCAGCUGUGCUCCGAGGACGUGGUUGCUGGAGUGUGUGACCCUGGAGGGACGUGGUUCACUCAGCUCUCCUAAGAAAUGCUGUCCUUUCCCCGGGCUAGACUCAGUCGUCCCUUCAUAGGAGUGGAUCUUCUUUUGUCCCCCUUCACUUUCAGGGAGUUCCUCCUUAACCAGUGGAAAGUGUAAAUUUGUAGUCUGCUGACACUGGCAAGGAGUGGCAGGGUGUCUUCUCCGCUUUCGGGCAUUUUACUCUUGGCUCAGAUCUAGUCCGAGGUUGAGAACAGGCCUAGCCUCAAUGGCCAUCUGAGCCGGGUGGAAAGAAGUGAUAGGAGCCAAGGGGUGAUUUGUCAGUGUUAUCACUUGUCUCUCACUAGAGGGAGUUCUUGCUUUAGGCAGCCAAAACUCCACAGGCUCCUUGUCCUAGGAAAGAGCUAUCUAAUCUAGCUUUUCUGGGUAGAAUCAUGGCACCCAUACUUGGGGGCAAAAGGAGCCAUUUUUCCUGAGUGCUACCUCAUGCAUUUAGUAGGCACAUAGAAAACAAAGAAGCAUCUAGCCAGUUCAAAUAAUGGUUCCAAGUUCUUAUACUGCUGUGUGAUAGCAGGAACUCUGACCUUGGGCAAGUGGCUCUGUGACCUCUCUGUGCCUCAGUCUCCUCAUCUUGAAAAUGGGGAUAAAAUGAUACCUACUGCAUGGGGUUUUUGUGAGUUAACACAUACAAAAUACUUAAAAGAGUUCUUGAUCCAAUAUAAGUUAUUAAAUAUAAUUAUUAUAAUUAAUAAUUAUUUAAUAAUAAUCAAAUAAUUGUUGAUACCGAGUGGGCCCCUUUUAUUCUGUCACAGGGAUCGGAGGUGAAGUGCACUGUUGCUUUGACCCCAUGGAACUUGAUAACCAAAUAUAGAAUUAAAUUGCUGACUUGUUUAUAUUUAUAGCUGGAAGAGCCCGUAUUGUCCUCAAAAUAGUGCAGAAGAAUUCAAUUUAGAACAGAAAGGCAGCAACGAAUGAAGACUAUAAAAGAAAAGAAGAAGGAAUGUCAAAGACUGAGGUAGAGUAGGUAACAUAAGGGAAUUUGGAAGAAAUCAUCCAAUGGCCUGUGGUAUAUGCUGCACUUUUUGCCCACUUGGCAUGGUCUUGGGGGCUAGGGUUGGGUAUGGUGGAAGGACACACCAGUGGUCCCUUGGAAGCUGCUCAGUAACCUAUCCUCCCAGGGCUGUCCCUAGUAGCAAAGUCCUGGCUCUGGAGCCCUACUGGCUAGAUUCAUAUCCUGGCUCUAACACUUGCUAACUAGGUGACCUGGGACAGGUUACUUCAUUUCUUUAUGCCUCAGUUUCCUCAUCUGAAAAAUAUGCAUGUUAAUAGCACCCACUUUUUAGAGCAUUCUGUAGACUCAUUGAGCUAAUACAUGUAAAGAGCCAAGAAUAUUGCCUAGCAAUAGGAAUUCUUAAUCAAUUUUAGUAUCAUUUUGUUAUGCUUUGUGAACGUGGUACCCCCGAGAUUCAGAGUAGGUGGCAGAAGAAACAGUAAAAGAGUAAAAGGGGGUUUGUUCUUGCAUUCAUUCACUCAACACAGGCACUAAGGAACAGGAAGGUGGUUGACACAAUUCAGUGGGUGUGUUUUGUGGUUUCAAAACACAUGAAAUAGAAAAGGAAACUGAUGUGUUAGCCUUUAGAUAUUUUGAUCCUUCAUCAGACCCAUGGAUGGCAUUUUGAGAGAAAUGUUACAAGGGGUGUCAACAGGAUCCUCAAAGACCACCUUGUACUUCUUCCAUCUUUUGUAUAGAAAAUCUGCCAAGACAAGGAGGGUAACCCAGAGGAAACCGCCUUCAGGGCCUGGUAAGAAAGACUGGAGGUUCUGUUCAGCCAUUGCUUCCCAGCCUCAGCAAAGGCCACCUGUGUAGGGCAGCAAACUUGCUCCUCUCCCUGUCAAUCCUACUUCCUUCUCAGAUUCUCUAAGAUCCUAAAGAGCUCAGGCUUCAUAAUUUUUAAAUGUCAACAGCCAAAGUUCAAGAAAUAAGUUAAUUAAAGCCACUUGAGACAAGGGUAUAUGAAGUGAGCAGUUGCAGCCAACUCCUUCAAAUGUGGCCAAAAUUGUAUAAAGGCCUAACUGAUACCAAAUAACACUUCACCCCAACCUCCCUCCUCGUCAAAAUUACCCUCUUCCCGAUAAUCUCCUCCUCCUUGUACUUAGAGAGAUGGUUAUACUCCCAAAAUGAAUUUUUAACAUUCUCUCUUCCAGUUUGCCUGUUAUGCCUUCGAGAACCUGGGGAUCCUGAAAAAUUGGGGGAAUUUCUUCAGAAAGGCGAUCUCAGCAUGCAUUACUUCUGUCUUAUCCUAUCUAGCAAGCUGCCUCAGAGGGCCCAGUCCAACAGAGGUUUCUAUGGAUUUCUGCCUGAAGACAUCAAAAAGGAGGCAGCCCGGGCUUCUAUGAAGACCUGCUUUGUGUGCAAGAAAAAGGGAGCUGCCAUCAACUGCCAGAAGGAUCACUGCAUCAGAAACUUCCAUCUUCCUUGUGGCCAAGAAAGGGGUUGCCUUUCACAAUUUUUUGGAGAGUACAAAAAUAUGCCCACACGUCAGCAAAGCAUUUCUUCAAAUGUCCGCAGUGUAACAAUCGAGAAGAGUUUCCUCAAGAAAUGCUAAGAAUGGGAAUUCAUAUUCCAGACAGAGAUGCUGCCUGGGAACUCGAGCCAGGGGCUUUCUCGGAGUUGUAUCAGCGUUAUCAGCAUUGUGAUGCCCCCAUCUGUCUGUAUGAACAAGGCAGAGACAGCUUUGAGGAUGAAGGGAGGUGGUGCCUCAUUCUGUGUGCUACGUGCGGAUCCCACGGAACUCAUAGGGACUGCUCCUCUCUUAGAUCCAACAGUAAAAAAUGGGAGUGUGAGGAGUGUGCAUCUUCUGCUGAAGCCACAGGAUCGCAUCCAGGAUACCACAUUGCAUUGAGUCGUCAUGUCUCCUUAGGUUCCUCUUGGCUGUAACAGUUUGUCAGAUUUUCCUUGUUUUUGAUGACCUUGACAGUUUUGAGGAGUACUGGUCAGGUAUUUUGUAGAGUGCCAUUCAAUUGGGAUUUUUCUGAUGUUUUUCUCAUGAUUAGACUAGGGUUAUGGGUUUCGGGGAGGAAGACCACAUAGAUAAAGUGCCAUUUUCAUUGUAUCAUAUUGAAGUUACAUACUAUCAGCAUGACAUCUCUGUUGAUGUUGAUCUUGAUCAUCUGGCCAAGGUAGUGUCUGUCAGGUUUUUCCACUGUAAAGUUACUCCUUUCCCCCCUUUCCAUACUGUAGCUUUUAGAAGGAGGUUACUCUGUGUAUCCCACAAUUAAUGAGUAGGGAUUUAGGCCCCCUCCCUCCUUGAGGACAGAGUAUCUACUUAAAUUAUUUGGAAUUCUGUGUGGAAAAUUAACCUAUUCUCUCCCACUUACUUAUUUUUUCAAUCAUUUAUUUAUAUCAGUAUGGACUCAUGGAUAUGUAUAGUAUACUUUGGGUUAUAAUCCAAUACUACUUUAUUUUGUUGCUCAAAUUCUUCUGGUUUUGGGCAUUGGGAGCUCUUGUGUUCUUUUCACAUACCCCUAUUAUUGUGUGUUUUGUUUCAUUUUUUGAACAUGUCUUUACUUUUUGGCACUAUAAGAUGCCCCAGGCUCAUCUUGCAUAUUUAAAAUACCUGUUUUCACAAAUGACAUGUCUAUUAGAAUUAAUUACUGUUUUAUAACUUAGGACCUAGAACAGAUAGUUCACUUGGGGAGGGUAGAAAUAGAUCUUAAA
Molecule: RNA transcript, 4765 nt
Organism: Equus quagga
Lineage: Eukaryota; Metazoa; Chordata; Mammalia; Perissodactyla; Equidae
Gene: PHF7
Gene name: PHD finger protein 7
Exons: 7
Source: RefSeq, a predicted model, not a curated record